AAAAUGCCGCUUCUGUUCGGUUCGACGAAACGGAACACGGUGCAAAUCCGUGGCGGGCCCGCCGCUGUAUCCGGGGACGGACGUUGCAAGGUUGCAAGACCAGCCACUGACGGGGAUCACCCCGGCGGGAAGGCGCAGCGAUCCGGCUGAUCCGGUAGCCAGAAGACGUGUCGAACCGGUGCGGAGUCA
RNAcentral lists this non-coding RNA (189 nucleotides) under unidentified. The record is from RNAcentral.